This is a long non-coding RNA of Phyllostomus hastatus (greater spear-nosed bat), 300 nucleotides long. RefSeq lists it as uncharacterized. The record is from RefSeq and is a predicted model, not a curated record. The transcript is spliced from 3 exons. Lineage: Eukaryota; Metazoa; Chordata; Mammalia; Chiroptera; Phyllostomidae.
UCUGUGGUGACCAGCUACGUUUGGCAGCAGGCUCGGGUGCCCACAACUGCACAGAGCAAGAAGCGUUUGAAACAGUGAUGUUCCAGUUUAAAAGGACAGAGCUGCAAACAGAGGAGAACAUCGCAGUGGGAAAAACUGAAUUAGGAAUGUCAAGAACUGAGUUGUAGCCCCUGCUAAUUCAUUCAUUCAUUCACUCCUUUGUUCAUUUCCCUGCCUUAGGACCCAGAACGAAUAUACAUUUUGAAGUUAGAACAAACUGGGUUGAAACAAUGCUCCAUCUUCAGCUAUGUGACUGUGGGG